GACGAACGCUGGCGGCGCGCUUAACACAUGCAAGUCGAACGGAAAAGCCCUGCUUGGGUGGGGUGCUCGAGGGGCGAACGGGUGUGUAACACGUGAGUAACCUGCCCUUCACUGUGGGAUAACUUGAGGAAACUGGGGCUAACACAGGAUAGGAGCUCCUGCUGCAUGGAGGGGGGUGGAAAGUUUCGGCGGUUGGGGAUGGACUCGCGGCUUGUCAGCUUGUUGGUGGGGUAGUGGCUUACCAAGGCUUUGACGGGUAGCCGGCCUGAGAGGGUGACCGGCCACAUUGGGACUGAGAUACGGCCCAGACUCCUACGGGAGGCAGCAGUGGGGAAUAUUGCACAAUGGGCGGAAGCCUGAUGCAGCAACGCCGCGUGCGGGAUGACGGCCUUCGGGUUGUAAACCGCUUUCGCCUGUGACGAAGCGUGAGUGACGGUAAUGGGUAAAGAAGCACCGGCUAACUACGUG
Molecule: ribosomal RNA, 468 nt
Filed under: uncultured bacterium
Lineage: Bacteria
Description: partial 16S ribosomal RNA
Rfam family: Bacterial small subunit ribosomal RNA
Source: RNAcentral